Molecule: ribosomal RNA, 312 nt
Filed under: Triticum aestivum (bread wheat)
Lineage: Eukaryota; Viridiplantae; Streptophyta; Magnoliopsida; Poales; Poaceae
Description: partial small subunit ribosomal RNA
Source: RNAcentral
AUGGCGCGCGAGCUCUGGACGGCGCUGUCGGGGAUGUUCUCCUCGCAGUCGCUCAGUCGCGUCAACAACAUCAGAACCUCUCUGGUGAACGCCCAGAAGGGUAACAAGACCGUCGCCACCUACUUCGCCGAGAUGCGCCGCUUCGCCGAUGAGCUGGCCGCCGCCGGGAAACCUCUCCAGGAUGAUGAACUCAUCUCCUACAUCAUGCACGACCUCGACAUGGACUACCAGCCACUCGUCUCCGCCCUCGACGCCCGCAUCACCCCGGUAUCCCUCGAUGAGCUUUUUUCAAUGCUUAGCAACUUUGAUUAG